UUUGGCGGAGCCAUCCUUGGGAUACCACCCUUGUAGUACUGGGACUCUAACCAUAGGCCAUGAAUCUGGUCUUGGGACACUGUCAGGUGGGCAGUUUGACUGGGGCGGUCGCCUCCCAAAAGGGAACGGAGGCGCUCAAAGGUUCUCUCAGUACGGUCGGAAAUCGUACGGAGAGUGUAAAGGCAAAAGAGAGCUUGAUUGCAAGACAUACAGGUCGAGCAAGGAUGAAAAUCGGACUUA
This 240-nucleotide ribosomal RNA is filed under the name Clostridioides difficile. Its description in RNAcentral is "partial 23S ribosomal RNA". It matches the Rfam family "Bacterial large subunit ribosomal RNA", at positions 2176 to 2414 of the family's 2925-position model. Lineage: Bacteria; Bacillati; Bacillota; Clostridia; Peptostreptococcales; Peptostreptococcaceae. The record is from RNAcentral.